CCGUGGUAAUCGCCCCCCUUGCGGUUAGGCUAACUACUUCUGGUAAAACCCACUCCCAUGGUGUGACGGGCGGUGUGUACAAGACCCGGGAACGUAUUCACCGCGACAUGCUGAUCCGCGAUUACUAGCGAUUCCGACUUCACGCAGUCGAGUUGCAGACUGCGAUCCGGACUACGAUCGGGUUUCUGGGAUUGGCUCCCCCUCGCGGGUUGGCGACCCUCUGUCCCGACCAUUGUAUGACGUGUGAAGCCCUACCCAUAAGGGCCAUGAGGACUUGACGUCAUCCCCACCUUCCUCCGGUUUGUCACCGGCAGUCUCAUUAGAGUGCCCUUUCGUAGCAACUAAUGACAAGGGUUGCGCUCGUUGCGGGACUUAACCCAACAUCUCACGACACGAGCUGACGACAGCCAUGCAGCACCUGUGUUCCGGUUCUCUUGCGAGCACUGCCAAAUCUCUUCGGCAUUCCAGACAUGUCAAGGGUAGGUAAGGUUUUUCGCGUUGCAUCGAAUUAAUCCACAUCAUCCACCGCUUGUGCGGGUCCCCGUCAAUUCCUUUGAGUUUUAAUCUUGCGACCGUACUCCCCAGGCGGUCAACUUCACGCGUUAGCUGCGCUACCAAGG
Molecule: ribosomal RNA, 620 nt
Filed under: Achromobacter xylosoxidans
Lineage: Bacteria; Pseudomonadati; Pseudomonadota; Betaproteobacteria; Burkholderiales; Alcaligenaceae
Description: partial 16S ribosomal RNA
Source: RNAcentral